AAUCGCGCAUCAGCCAUGGCGCGGUGAAUACGUUCCCGGGCCUUGUACACACCGCCCGUCAAGCCAUGGGAGCCGGGGGUGCUUGAAGUGCGUCGCCGCAGGGCGCGCCCUAGAGCAAAACCGGUGACUGGGGCUAAGUCGUAACAAGGUAGC
RNAcentral lists this ribosomal RNA (153 nucleotides) under uncultured bacterium. RNAcentral's name for it is "partial 16S ribosomal RNA". It matches the Rfam family "Bacterial small subunit ribosomal RNA", at positions 1340 to 1500 of the family's 1533-position model. The record is from RNAcentral.